This 106-nucleotide non-coding RNA is filed under the name Yersinia aleksiciae. RNAcentral describes it as "Yersinia sRNA 224". It matches the Rfam family "Yersinia sRNA 224". The record is from RNAcentral. Lineage: Bacteria; Pseudomonadati; Pseudomonadota; Gammaproteobacteria; Enterobacterales; Yersiniaceae.
AGAUUAUUGACAAAGUGUUAGUGGCGGAGAGAACAGGUGGAUCGUAAAGGCGCCGUCAAUCCGUCCCUGGUGGCUCGAGCUACGCCAUCCCUAGCGCGGACGCUUU